Molecule: ribosomal RNA, 206 nt
Filed under: uncultured bacterium
Lineage: Bacteria
Description: partial 16S ribosomal RNA
Rfam family: Bacterial small subunit ribosomal RNA
Source: RNAcentral
UGCGUAGGCGGCUUUGCAAGUCAGAUGUGAAAUCUAUGGGCUCAACCCAUAGCCUGCAUUUGAAACUGCAGAGCUUGAGUGAAGUAGAGGCAGGCGGAAUUCCCCGUGUAGCGGUGAAAUGCGUAGAGAUGGGGAGGAACACCAGUGGCGAAGGCGGCCUGCUGGGCUUUAACUGACGCUGAGAUGCGAAAGCGUGGGAGCAAACA